UACAGAGGGUGCAAGCGUUGUUCGGAAUUACUGGGCGUAAAGCGCGUGUAGGCGGCGGCGUUAGUCGGAUGUGAAAUCCCUCAGCUCAACUGAGGAAGUGCAUUCGAUACUGCGUCGCUUGAAUGUCGGAGGGGAUGGCGGAAUUCCCGGUGUAGAGGUGAAAUUCGUAGAUAUCGGGAGGAACACCUGUGGCGAAGGCGGCCAUCUGGACGACGAUUGACGCUGAGACGCGAAAGCGUGGGGAGCAAACAGG
RNAcentral lists this ribosomal RNA (253 nucleotides) under uncultured bacterium. RNAcentral's name for it is "partial 16S ribosomal RNA". It matches the Rfam family "Bacterial small subunit ribosomal RNA", at positions 524 to 776 of the family's 1533-position model. The record is from RNAcentral.